UGGUGGAGUGAUUUGUCUGGUUAAUUCCGUUAACGAACGAGACCUCGCCCUGUUAAAUACGCAUUUGCGAUAUCACGGUCUCGCAUUAUAAGGCUUCUUAGAGGGACUAUUGGUGCUUUAGCCGAUGGAAGUUCGAGGCAAUAACA
Molecule: ribosomal RNA, 146 nt
Filed under: uncultured eukaryote
Lineage: Eukaryota
Description: partial 18S ribosomal RNA
Rfam family: Eukaryotic small subunit ribosomal RNA
Source: RNAcentral